GUCUCCUCUUCACCAUGCCAUUUCUUGAAAAAGAGGAAAACAGUGAACCUGUGCUGAUGAAAAAUGAAACACGCCUGCAAAUCUUAAAGAACAAGGAGCAGAGAAAGAGACUUGUUCAUGAAAUUUGUACUUUUUUAGAUAGCAGCCAGUCUGUCCAGGAAAUUGAUGCUUUAAGGACAGAAAACAGGAAAUUAAAAAAUGCGAACUCGAGACUUCGAUAUAAGACAAAGGAUUGGGCAUUAAAGAAAGAAGAAUAUGAAAAUGAGAUUGAGAGGCUGUCUAGUGAGAUAUCAAAUUACUUAAAUGUCACCAAUUUUUGGUAUCAAGACACAGAGCUUCUUAAUGAUGAGCGAAUGUUACAACACAGACUGGAGAAGAUGACACAAGUUUCUUUUCUUUUUUCAUCUAAUCCAGACACACAAGUGAAGAACCCUUAUCAAAGGAUGAAUAUGAACAAUAGAAGAGCAGCUAACUACUAUUUUUAA
Molecule: long non-coding RNA, 485 nt
Filed under: Monodelphis domestica (gray short-tailed opossum)
Lineage: Eukaryota; Metazoa; Chordata; Mammalia; Didelphimorphia; Didelphidae
Description: lncRNA (ENSMODG00000035499.2)
Source: RNAcentral